Molecule: long non-coding RNA, 1033 nt
Organism: Apis dorsata (giant honeybee)
Lineage: Eukaryota; Metazoa; Arthropoda; Insecta; Hymenoptera; Apidae
Exons: 2
Source: RefSeq, a predicted model, not a curated record
UUGAAACUCUAUCGGUGCGCUGUCUAGCUAGUAACCGUUCUCGUUUCAUUCGUGACUUUUAAUUGUGACUAUAUUUGAAGAGUUAGUUUGAGAAGAUUAUACUGCAAAGAAAGCUGGAAAGAUAACAGAAAACUAGAAACAAAAAAUUGUCUAUGACGAAUUGGUGAAGCGAUGAAAAAUAAAUGAGCUUUGUGACAAAUUCAAACAUUCUAAUUCAAUGUAAGUGUUUAUACAAUUAAUGUGAUUCAAUGUAAAUAUUAUUAAAAAAUGAAAUAGUGAGGAGAAAGGCAGCAUACAAUAGCUGUGCAGUUAAAAACAAAAAUGUUUGUGUCUAGUAUCAAUGAUGGAUUGAUCUGCGAGUUCGAAGAUAGAGCAGUCAGGACAAUACUUGAAUUGAGGAUAAAUCUCUGUUUAACCAUAAAAAUAUUGUACCGUAGUUCACGAUUCUCUUCUCUAAUCACUUCUCUCACUGUGCCGCUUUCUUCGAUCUUCUCUGUUUCAUUAUAAUCAGACUUUUCCACAACGCUUGCUUGUAUAUGGGAAAAACAGAUAUUUUUUCGAAAAAACAAAAAAAAAAUUUAGACUAUAAACGAUAAAAGAUUAAAAUGGAGACAAACCAAAUCUCAAUAACAAAAUUAAAUAGUUAUAAAAAAAAUUGAAUAAUAAUUUUUCUUUGGAAAAAGGAUCUGUAUGUAUGGUUCGCUAUAUGCAUCAUAGUCUGCGACAAAUUGGCGAAAUGCCGUGAACUAGAUUCAUGCUUAACGAAUAAUUAUAAACGAAUUCGUUUAAGAUAGUGGCUAAACUUAGGCAUCAGCUAGCGAGCACAAAGUUCGCGGUCAAUCGAAUUCAAGCAAUUCAAGGUGAACCGAUAACCCCGACAUCAAGAACGAGGGCGUGUUAGUAAUAUAUUUUCUUACCAACAAAUCCACAGCUGAUAUUCAGCUCAACGAACAAUUAUCAACGCCAAUGAAUAAGCGUGUCGACGAAAAGAGAGCAAUUCUCGAUUAGAUGAAAAAGGAAAGAUGAAAAGAAA